This is a small RNA of Flaviramulus basaltis, 107 nucleotides long. It matches the Rfam family "6S-Flavo RNA". The record is from Rfam. NCBI's taxonomy places the organism in Bacteria, Pseudomonadati, Bacteroidota, Flavobacteriia, Flavobacteriales, Flavobacteriaceae.
ACUCAACGUUAAUUCUUUAAAAAGGGUGAGUUUAAGUUGUAAAAGCAUGCUGCCUUGAGCAGACCCUUGAUCAGCUUGUUAGCCCUAAACUUGUUUUUAAGGAGUUU